AGAACGAACGCUGGCGGCAGGCUUAACACAUGCAAGUCGAACGGUUGUAGCAAUACAGCAGUGGCAGACGGGUGAGUAACACGUGGGAACCUUCCUAGGGGUACGGAACAACUCAGGGAAACUUGAGCUAAUACCGUAUACGUCCGUGAGGAGAAAGAUUUAUCGCCCCUAGACGGGCCCGCGUAGGAUUAGGUAGUUGGUGAGGUAACGGCUCACCAAGCCUACGAUCCUUAGCUGAUCUGAGAGGAUGAUCAGCCACACUGGGACUGAGACACGGCCAGACUCCUACGGGAGGCAGCAGUGGGGAAUCUUGGACAAUGGCGCAAGCCUGAUCCAGCCAUGCCGCGUGAGUGAAGAAGGCCUUAGGGUGUAAAGCUCUUUACCAGGGACGAUAAUGACGUACCUGAGAA
Molecule: ribosomal RNA, 410 nt
Filed under: uncultured soil bacterium
Lineage: Bacteria
Description: bacterial SSU rRNA
Rfam family: Bacterial small subunit ribosomal RNA
Source: RNAcentral